Molecule: unclassified non-coding RNA, 657 nt
Filed under: Melitaea cinxia (Glanville fritillary)
Lineage: Eukaryota; Metazoa; Arthropoda; Insecta; Lepidoptera; Nymphalidae
Description: misc RNA ENSMCXG00005001574.1
Source: RNAcentral
AAAAAGUAGAUAAUGCGCGGCCUUUGUCGUAACUGAAGCCACAAAACUCGGCUCAUUCAAGUAAACACAUGCGCUCACGCACACAUAUGCAUCAAACUACGCUCAUUUUCGUCAGUAUCUCACGGGGCCUCGUACAGUAAUUAUGCCUACAAAAUGCCGUUUUUGUGUAAUUAAAUGGUACAAAAACAAUACCAAAGUGAAUAAAAAGUCUGAAGAAAUAUCGUUUAACACGUAAGUACAUACAAAACUUUAUAUUUCUUGUUAUUCCAAAAUAAUAUUGAGGUUAUUCGGAACUUAUAAUUUCCAUGUCCCGAAAUGACGUACCGAGGGAGUGUUACCUGUAAUUCUUAUUUCCAUUAGCCCAAAAUGCGGGUCCUACCCUAGGAGUCUAAAUCAGUCGUUAACCAAGAUUCAAUCUUUGAUACACCUAGAAAACAUAAACUAAGAGAAAGGUUAAAAAAACAGGAACUUUAUUCAAAAAAAAAUGUAAAAAAAUUAAAUCAUUACAGCAAAGAGUUAGGCGUUUUUAAAACAGGAACUUGCCUCAGAGGAAUCAUCAAUUACUUAAAAACGCAAUUUUCAUUGACAAAGAUUUAUAUAAUUCAUUAAAUCAAAACAUGGCUGCAAUAGAUUUAUUUAACAGUUUGAAGCAAAAAA